ACAACGGUUUUUUUAAAAACCAUCGCUAACGACUUGAGUUAAUUA
Non-coding RNA from Glycine max (soybean), 45 nucleotides. The record is from Rfam. Lineage: Eukaryota; Viridiplantae; Streptophyta; Magnoliopsida; Fabales; Fabaceae.